Anguilla anguilla (European eel) is the source of this 4722-nucleotide long non-coding RNA. RefSeq lists it as uncharacterized. The record is from RefSeq and is a predicted model, not a curated record. The transcript has 3 exons. Lineage: Eukaryota; Metazoa; Chordata; Actinopteri; Anguilliformes; Anguillidae.
CUUAUUUUAUGUAGGCCUAUGUUACGUUUUCUGUUAGCCACACAUUAUAUUUGCUUGCUUUAAGACCUGUUUCAUAAAACUACCAUUCUACAUUACAUUAGCUAGAUAUGGCAAUUAUACAUUCUUAAUUAUAUUUAUAUGUAGGCUGAAUGCACAGAUCUGUGUUUAUUUUCUUAAUUGGGCUAUUUAUUCCAAGAGUUUGCCAGUUUCAUGUUUGAUCUUUUGUUAAAGUCACUUUUACCCGCCUGCGUGUCACAUAAAAUACUGUGGAUAUAUUUGCUGGCGUGUCUUGUAUCCAUAUUCCUCUAGCUGUACUUGUACCACGAGGAACAGAUUCUCUGACACGAAGGUCGUCCUUUGGGCAAACUUUUUUCACUCAUCCUUACAGCUAGAAGUUAUGUCCAAAAGGGUGUUAUUAUCUGGUAUUAAUAGAUUCAGCCCAGCGAAGACAAAAUCAGCUAUUGAUAAUUGCAAGAAGUAUACAGCAGCUACUGUAUCGAUCGGCUUGUCCUCUACUCCCCUGGUAUAUAGAGAUAAGAAGACAGACUCUUUAGUGCAAUAUAAUUUCUUUUGACCUAUCUGCUUGCUACAGACUUAUGAUGAAUAGCCAGACCGGCUAAAGUCCUUUAUCACGAAACGUACCCCUUGAUAUAAUAUUGAUUCUUUAUAACUAGCUCGGCACACAAAAAUCAAACUGUCCACUUGGCCAUCAUCAUCAUCAAUAUCAUCACAAAAGCGCUGAAAUAAGGAUCUGCUCCGGAUUCCAAAGGGCCUCCUCACCAUCUCCUCGCUGAUCUUUGCUUUACGGAUGAUCAUGAAAAGAAACCAGAGAGGAAAAUACGUGUUAUAGAAACUAAUAAAUAAGCCACAAUUUGUUUUCUUAAAAACACACCGUUUUGGGUGUCAGCGCCAAGAAAAACUCUUAUCUGCAUACUGCGGAUUUGCAAAGGACAGAUUAUUAAUUGGUUCUCUCUGGCAAGCAUUAAUUGCACACAAACGCCUCCUUAUCCAAAACUAUUGUUGGAGUAUAGCCUUCCAUCCGUUUGAAGCAGGUAGGUAGGCUACAGUAGCCUAUAGGCUUCGCAGUUUUGGUCAGCCGAAAUGACAAGUUAAACCCUCGCCUUGUCGACACGACAUGAAAUCAUAAUCGUUAUCAUCAUCAUUGUACGUUACAGGCUACGCAAAUAACCAGAAUUGGAACGUAAUUAACUUUUAAAUCGCAUCUCUUCUCAUACAAUGACUAAUUAAAAGCAUUCAUUCCAAAUGAAAUAUUUUAACAAUGUAAAAUAGGCAUCCUGAGGAAAGUUCGAAAAAUAUAAGCUCAUAGACGUAUACAGGGACCGGAAAAUAGUAUCCCCAAUGUGGUGAUAUUUAAUGGCCUAUUUACUUCGCUAUAGUAUCCUAGGUUAUUUUAAAGAACGCGUUUACUGCAGUCCAUAUUAACCGGGUUCUCCUGAGAAAGGGGAGGGUGUGUGCGGAGUGGAGGGAGGGAGCGCGACAAGAAACACACAAACAACCUCGUAGGCUUUUAGCACAAUUUGGAUAUGGGUAUCUGAGUGAGGUUUACACUGUGUCUUUCUGCCGUAUUAAUAAGUACAACUGCGAUAGGCAGGUUACUUUUCCGAACUUAUUUCCCCCCGAGAAGCGUGCAGUUACUUAUUCUAGAAAGGAUUCUUUGGAGGCCAGCACCGUGACGACAGGACUCCCAAGGGUUCCUGUUUGUUUGUUUCAUUUGUAUUUGGACUGAUGCCAUUCGCUGGAGGAUGAACACCCAUUUUGUGGAAAAGAUGAUGUCCAGUCGACCAGGUCUGCUCCAGGCAAUAAACAAGGUGAAUAACAAUGGAACCAAGAUAGGGUGCAAGUCUGAAAGGGUAAAAAAGUGAAGAAAAAAAAAGAUUAAAAAGAGAUAAACUGUGUAAAAUGCAGGUGGAGAAAAAAAUAAAAAAGUGUUUUUUUUGUUUUAUGUGUAGGAUAUUUUGUGCAUAAUAGAAAAACAAACCCGUUUGGAUCACAUUUGUUAAAUGUGGUGUAGUCUCUCUGUCAUUGGAGCUGCCAUCCUAAAAUGUUGCCUACAUUUUGUUUUUUUCACUUCUUUUUUCAAGCUUUAAUGCAGACCAUCGUAUUUCUACAUUUUCCUGAGGCAGUCAGGCCUUUUAAAGAGAUAAACAGAAUAGAGCAGGUCACCUAUACACAGUGUGCUCGUUGAUGCUUUCUGUGUAUGUUUCAAGUAUCAUAGCACAUCCUUUCAAAGCCUCAUCCACAUGCAUUUCAAAACAAGGCGAACAGAUCAUUUAAAACGAUGGCUUUGCAAAGCCACCUUGCACGAUUAUUACAGUUAAAUCUCCUUCUAUCUCAUGUCAGCCAUGAAAGGUGAUCGAACAUGAAAAGACCUGCUUGAAAUCAAUGCACUGAUCAGAUAUGAAAUGCUACUAAUGCCCUUCAAACUAAAUUUCAUAUACUGAGACACAAAAAAGAAAAAGAAAUCGAUAGCAGCGUGCUAAAGUGGAACAAGAAAUUAAUUGAUUAAUGAUCAUUCUUUUUUUUCAUUCCCAGCAAAGCUGUUGACUAUUGGUAGCUGUACACAUCAAGAUGAUGAGAAUAUAAUAGUGCCUUAAAAAAUAACAGACCACAAACAAUUAGACAGCUCUAUGCUUUUGCAUUCAUUUCUGUUCCCUUUACAGUACCUGGGCACCAUAAUUCUUUUUAGUGGUCAAGAAAAUGAAAAUCCAGAGGUCUGUUUGCGUUUAUAAAAGUAAUCCAUUACAAGUACGAGCCAUUUGUACGAGCUUCCUCUUUUAUCAUGUCAAUUUACAGCUUUAAUAACCAGGGCCCCUGUUAUAAAUUUGUCUUACAAAUGGAAGAAAAAGGGAAACGCUAAUAAUGUCCCAUCAAUGCAAAUAUCAUUUAAACAAUGUAGUAAAAUAGGCCGCAUGUCGGAAUGAAAUUAUUUUAACACCAAGGGCACAAAACACUAUUGAACUGCCUUUUUUUCUGCAUUUCCUGGAGCUAAUGAAUUAUCACCCCAAACAAAACAGUGCAAUUAAUUGAGGAAGUAAUGAAUUUUGCCAGACUGCAAAAGGACUUUGUUUACUAGAAUUUGUUUGCUGGUUAUCAAGUCCACUUCCUAAAUAAUUGCCCUGUGUACUUUUCUCGAAAACGUUCAUGUAUGGACGUGCGUAGCGCAUGCACAUGCUAUUGAUAAUUGUACAGUUGUGCGACAGUGUGGGAAUGUAGUUUGUACACUGACAUGUUUGUGCCUAUGUUCUGGGAUUGUUUUAUUAAAAUAUAAGAGUAAUACAGACAAAGCUUAUAUUUGAUUGGGCGCUUAUAUCUACUGUAUAUUGAAUUUUGGUGUGUGGCACUGAACGUGGACCUUUAGCGCACAUAGUGAAAUAAUAGAAUAUGUUGCAGGUCCAAGGUGAAGAGCUUUCUGUCAGGCGGAAUGUGAGAUGAGAAGAGAGUGGAUCUUGGCUGGGAGGGGAGGCUAGUGACAGGCUGGUAAAAGGUGUCUUGAAAACGCUAAUUAAAAUUGAAUACCUCUACAAAUGCAGUGCAACACACAAUUUUCAAGCAAUUCAUUCGAGUAUCUGUAUUGGUGUGAAUCAUGCAUUCUAACCGGUUUAAUUUUGUUUGUUGUUUUUUUAUUUUUCAUUAUUAUCAUUUUAAAUGUUUUCCCCCUUUCACCUAUGUUUUAAUGUUUGGUGUCAGCUUUCAUUAUCAAAUGUUUUAGGACUUUGUGUGUGUUUUUUAAACAUCUGAAAUCCCUAUUGAGAUGCCCUUGAUGUCAUCUGCAAAAACUAACCAAACAAAUCCUAAUAAUCUAUAAUGUGUCUGAUUUCUAAAGCAUUGCCAAGGCUUCUUUUUAUUAUAAGAUGAAAACAUCAGAUCCUUAUGUUCCUGUAAUUCAAAUCAGACGCCAUUAACAUUUCAUCCAUAAUGGAUGUCUAAAAAGAGAAAUAAGUGAAUUUAGUUUCUUAUACAACCUGUCUUUAUAUUGGUUAACUUUUAAUGGGUAUAUUUUUCUUUUCUUUAAUAGGAAGGUCGCAUCACAGUAGACAUAUUUACUGUGUAGCACUGUACCUUCGUAAACACUUCUACUGCAUUUGCACAUUGAAUACGAUCUUUGUGUAAUUUGACAUACUUGAACUAAGAAAUAUUAGUAGUGCUGAGAAUGGCAAUAUACAGUAAGUUGCGCUAACUGUUCUGACAGAGCGUUAAGUUGAGGUGCCCAAAUCUUAAGACACAACUCAUUUUCUGCAAUGACAGUUUGUUUAGACUGCCAAAUGAGAUCAAAUGCUUACUUCUUUGCUUUAAAAAUACUGAUUUGAAUUGUAUGAUUCUUAAUUAAACCAAACAUCACUGACUACCAACAUAGGCAUCCGUUUUUACAUUGUAUGACAUUUAUGUAUAAGACAUGUAAUGCUUUGAUUGUGGGCCUUAAAGGGUGCCUCAACUGACAUAUCCUGGGACUUGGAGAUUUCUAUCAGAGCAGAUACUGCUCUCUGGGGAUGUUUCUGGAAUGUUCUGACCCCUACCUGAUUCACACAAAAACUCAAUCUCCCAGUGGGCUCCUAUUUAAGUCCAAAUGCCACACUAUCUCAAAGAGUAUGCACUUCCGGAAACCAGCAUUGCAGUUAUCAUUUCCACAUUUGGACAUAAAUGUGAAAAUGUAUGAUAUGGGGAAAAAGGAUAUAGCUUCGUUUUUGGUAAUGAGCAGUUAUG